Musa acuminata AAA Group (dessert banana) is the source of this 2030-nucleotide long non-coding RNA. RefSeq lists it as uncharacterized. Lineage: Eukaryota; Viridiplantae; Streptophyta; Magnoliopsida; Zingiberales; Musaceae. The record is from RefSeq and is a predicted model, not a curated record. The transcript has 2 exons.
AAAAUGUACCCCUCCGUCCUCGCUCGAUCUAUCGCUCCAUCCGCCUCCUUUCCGCUCGUCUUGGAGCCUGGUUUUUUUGUUCCCUUGUUUCUCCGUUCCAUUCGUUGUUCGUACCGAAAUCUUGUGGUUUUGAUCGAAUUGUCGCUCUUGAUGACGAGAAUAGAAGCAGACGGGCGGUCAUAACCUGAUGCCGUGUUGAAUGUCUGCGUCCUCGUAGGCUUUACCUUGAAAGCAUCUGAGAGGGACUUCAUCGCCCUUCUUGUCGAUCUCUACUGCGCCUUUUCUUCCACUCUUCUUUCCCGUGCUUUUUCUUCCUUUAGUUCCGAUAAAAAUUCGAUUUUUUUUUUUCUGUCGAGUUAUUGCUCUCGAUGACGAGAGAAGAAGCAGACGGGCGGUCAGAACCUGAUGCCGUGUUGAAUGUCUGCAUCCUUAUAUGCUUUCUCUUGAAGGCAUCUGAGAGAGAUUCCACAAUUACUGUAGUUUUACAUGUAUUAUUCGUUGGUACAGAUCUAACUUUUAUCUAAUAGUCGUGGUUGAUGCGCUAUGAUGAAGAAUUUUUUGUUUUAUGUCUGGACAUAUGAGAUCCACUUGGUGUGUAUGAUUUGUUGUGAUUCUUCUGAGCAAUAUCAACCCACAUUUUUGUUACAUUUGAAUUAGGUUUAGUUUUCCUUGAUUUGAUAUCCUUGAAAUUGCACCAGUUACCCUCCUCUCUGGUGUUCUUUGAAUCUGAGGGGAUAUAACGGGUGCAGAAACACAAAUGGUUGGCUUACCAGCCCAUUGCAUGCGUCUAGUUGUUGCUCUGGUGUCAAAUGGUCCGAUCGAAAUUCCUGUCAAGCAUCAAUAUGAUAUAAGGAUUUCACUAAUUUUCUCCUCCCAUGAGAGUGGCAAAUGAUGUGAAUUUAAAAUCUUAUCCUACACACUGAAUCAUGGUGUGGACCAUUAACUCCGCUUAUUAUCUGAUGCCCUCUCUUUCAAUCUUUUCUUAUGCUAACUUUACUGUUAAUUGCGUUUUUUAGGCAUUGCAAAGAUUGAUUUUAUGUAUGCUUUAGUAUAUGUACAAAUGUUUGUAAUGUGCUAAGCUGUCACCAUUAAAACGGAACUAUGUUUCUUUCAAUGUAAAAGGAAUUCUAUAUGAUGCUUUUUUCUUGUGUCAUGCAGAUUUAUUCAUUAGAGUAGUGCUUAUGCUUGCUUUGCACUAUUCCAGCUCAAGUAUGAUUUAGUUAUACAAACGUGUGUACUCUUGAUGAGUUUAUUAUGAUUUUUAAACCUUCAAAAUAUAGAUGCUUUCAAAUCUAACUUUCUCGUAUGUGGGUGGCAAGUGAUGUGAAUUUGAAAUCUUAUCCUACACACUGAACCAUGGUGUGGACUGAUAACUCCGCUUAUUAUCUGAUGCCACUUUUUUUUCCUUCCACUAUCUUUUUCAACCUUUGUUUGCUAGUUUCAGUUCAAGCUGUUCAUAUAUAUGAUUGUGGCAUAUGCUUUCACAUAUGUUCAACUGUUGACAGUAUUUGUAAUGUCAUUCUUUUAUUUCAAUUAAUUACAAAAUUGAUGUAUUCCAUAAUGUACUUGACUAUAAAUAUAUUUUUGUUAGGUAGAAUUUUCUUGCUUUUGCUUAUAUAAGGUUUCUUUUCUUUGACGUUCAGCUUCAAGACUAGCUAUGAUGAAGAUUUACUUAUAUGUCUCGACAGAUGAGGCAUUUCUAUGAUUGUAAUACUUCUUCUGAGCCUAUGUCAAGGAAUUUUGUUACAAUUGAGUUUGGCAACAUGGUCUGCUUGUUAAGGAUGGAUUCUCAUGCAGUUUCCUCAAGGCAUUUCAUCGGACAGAAUGUAUAGGUCAUUCAUGAGUGAUUAUGCGGAACAAGAACAGAAAGUGCCCUCAAAGAUCUGGAUUUGAUUUUAUCAGGGAAAUUUUGUUAGAUAUAUUUUGCGGAUGAUUUGCAUUGGAGUUGGAUUUCGACUCUGCAAUGUUUCAUUAUUUGAUGAGUAAUGAAUACUUAUUAAGUUUAUAAUAAGACAAUAUUGUAUGGAUUA